AGCUCUGCACAGUGUCAGUAUCGCAGCCAAUGAGGUCUAUCCUAGGUGUGAUUAUUGCUAACUGAAAACUUCAAUAAUGAUCCAUAAAUUAGGAUACCAUUUAGUUAUG
This 109-nucleotide small nuclear RNA is filed under the name Jaculus jaculus (lesser Egyptian jerboa). Its description in RNAcentral is "U4 spliceosomal RNA (ENSJJAG00000005773.1)". It matches the Rfam family "U4 spliceosomal RNA". From Rfam's summary of the family: U4 small nuclear RNA (U4 snRNA) is a component of the major U2-dependent spliceosome. The structure of U4 snRNA from yeast and human has been reported. The record is from RNAcentral. Lineage: Eukaryota; Metazoa; Chordata; Mammalia; Rodentia; Dipodidae.